GCCCUGGUAGUGUAGUUCGGCUCAUAUAAAUGCGACAGCUAUCAUGAAGCCCUGUCGAGGCUUCGACCCGGGUUCGAAUGCAGUGAAUGUGACAAGAUUUGCUGCCGUGUGUCCCGGCCAGGGCG
RNAcentral lists this transfer RNA (125 nucleotides) under Nanobdellota archaeon. RNAcentral's name for it is "tRNA-Asp". Lineage: Archaea; Nanobdellati; Nanobdellota. The record is from RNAcentral.